This 174-nucleotide non-coding RNA is filed under the name Aeribacillus pallidus. RNAcentral describes it as "GlcN6P sequence". It matches the Rfam family "glmS glucosamine-6-phosphate activated ribozyme aptamer". Rfam says of the family: This entry contains a glucosamine-6-phosphate activated ribozyme that is found in the mRNA for GlmS. GlmS is an enzyme that uses fructose-6-phosphate and glutamine to generate glucosamine-6-phosphate. The ribozyme catalyses self cleavage of the glmS mRNA that is thought to regulate GlmS activity. Lineage: Bacteria; Bacillati; Bacillota; Bacilli; Caryophanales; Bacillaceae. The record is from Rfam by way of RNAcentral.
UUUUAUUGUAAAGCGCCUGGACUAAGCAGGAGCGGACAUCUGCUUAGUUGACGAGGAGGAGGUUUAUCGAAGUUUCGGCGGAUGCCUCCCGGUUGCCUUCCCGUACAGCCGUAAAGUCACGUCUUAAAACAAAGAGGCGACUCUUUGCACAAAAAGACUGUGACAUAACGGGAU